UACGAAGGGGGCUAGCGUUGUUCGGAUUUACUGGGCGUAAAGCGCACGUAGGCGGAUCGUUAAGUCGGGGGUGAAAUCCUGGAGCUCAACUCCAGAACUGCCUUCGAUACUGAAGAGCUCGAGUCCGGGAGAGGUGAGUGGAACUGCGAGUGUAGAGGUGAAAUUCGUAGAUAUUCGCAAGAACACCAGUGGCGAAGGCGGCUCACUGGCCCGGUACUGACGCUGAGGUGCGAAAGCGUGGGGAGCAAACAGG
RNAcentral lists this ribosomal RNA (253 nucleotides) under uncultured bacterium. RNAcentral's name for it is "partial 16S ribosomal RNA". It matches the Rfam family "Bacterial small subunit ribosomal RNA", at positions 524 to 776 of the family's 1533-position model. The record is from RNAcentral.